This 390-nucleotide ribosomal RNA is filed under the name Triticum aestivum (bread wheat). RNAcentral's name for it is "partial small subunit ribosomal RNA". The record is from RNAcentral. Lineage: Eukaryota; Viridiplantae; Streptophyta; Magnoliopsida; Poales; Poaceae.
AUGUCAUAUUUUCUGCUGCUUUGCUUUGUGGAUUCCCCAUACGUACCUUGCUUGCAUAUUCACUGCACCUACAUUGGAGCUGGCGAGAUCAUCUACAUUGGAGCUGGCGAGAGCAUCUCAGAUCAUGCAUCCCGUCUGGGUGUCCAGGAGCGAAAGUUGGACGUUAAUGUAUUUGAAACAAUGGAUGUAAGACUAAAACAAUUAGUGGAUAUUUCAACAAUGGAUGUAAGACAGAACCAAUGCGCGGAUCUGUUGAAAGUAUGUACUGUAAGCGCAUCUGUUGUAAUACCUAAUCAGGAACUGGGAUCAGCCCCGGCAGUGUCCAGAAGGGAACCAAUGCGCGGAUCUAUCGGUUUCGCCGUCGGUUUCACCGUCGGUUCCAGUGAGUGA